GUCUACUACUGAGGACUGCGUUUAGUCUUUUUUCAUAUUUAUAUCACUGUGUAAAACACUACAGUGUCUUAACGUACAGUAGAGCCCUAUUCACAGGGGACUGGUAUUACUAUAGAACGUUGGUUAUGGAAUUAUCACCCCAGCAGGUCCGCUUUUUCCAGUGGACGAUUUCGGACCGGAUUAGUUUUACCAAACUGCCCCUGUAAUAUUUUUAAAAUUAUUUUUAUGCCUCAUUCACAAUUGACCGAUAUUGUCAAAUGAAUUGAGAAAUGAAAUCCGACCAUUAAACCUCUACGCAGGUUACAGUUAAUGCUUCUUAUUGAUAUGGAUCCAAACUGAAGGUCAUUAGGUCAAUAUUAGACUAUCCCUAGAUGUGAACUGAAGGUCAUUAGGUCAAUAUUAGACUGUCCCUAGACAUGUGAACUGAAGGUCAUUAGGUCAAUAUUAGACUGUCCCUAGACAUGUGAACUGAAGGUCAUUAGGUCAAUAUUAGACUGUCCCUAGACAUGUGAACUGAAGGUCAUUAGGUCAAUAUUAGACUGUCCCUAGACAUGUGAACUGAAGGUCAUUAGGUCAAUAUUAGACUGUCCCUAGAUGUGAACUAAAGGUCAUUAGGUCAAUAUUAGACUGUCCCUAGACAUGUGAACUGAAGGUCAUUCGGUCAAUAUUAGACUGUCCCUAGACAUGUGAACUGAAGGUCAUUAGGUGAAUAUUAGACUGUCCCUAGACAUGUGAACUAAAGGUCAUUAGGUGAAUAUUAGACUGUCCCUAGACAUGUGAACUGAAGGUCAUUAGGUCAAUAUUAGACUGUCCCUAGACAUGUGAAAUAUCUUCACUCCUAGAAG
Molecule: long non-coding RNA, 845 nt
Organism: Oncorhynchus keta (chum salmon)
Lineage: Eukaryota; Metazoa; Chordata; Actinopteri; Salmoniformes; Salmonidae
Exons: 3
Source: RefSeq, a predicted model, not a curated record